This is a non-coding RNA of Pelobates cultripes (western spadefoot toad), 246 nucleotides long. The record is from the annotation of a GenBank genome assembly. Lineage: Eukaryota; Metazoa; Chordata; Amphibia; Anura; Pelobatidae.
UUAUAUUGAUAGAGCACACUGGAGCAGAGAUGGGCCCUGUUGAUCACUUUCUGCCUCUUAAAUUACUCAGAUAGUGGUUCAAGAGUGAUUGAUUAGCUGAGCAGUAUGGAAAAAGAUCUGGAAAAGUUCAAGGACCACAGUUUGCUUGCCCUCAAAGUAUAAACUUGGUUGUUGUGACUAGUGAGAAAACUGAACUUCUUUUUAGAUAAAUAUAAAUAAAAUAGACUAGACUAAUUUGAACACUCC